This 254-nucleotide ribosomal RNA is filed under the name uncultured bacterium. RNAcentral's name for it is "partial 16S ribosomal RNA". It matches the Rfam family "Bacterial small subunit ribosomal RNA", at positions 524 to 776 of the family's 1533-position model. The record is from RNAcentral.
UACAGAGGGUGCGAGCGUUAAUCGGAAUUACUGGGCGUAAAGCGUGCGUAGACGGUCAAGUAAGUCGGGUGUGAAAGCCCCGGGCUCAACCUGGGAAUUGCAUUCGAGACUGCGUGGCUAGGGUGCGGAAGAGGGAAGCGGAAUUUCCGGUGUAGCGGUCGAAAUGCGUAGAUAUCGGAAGGAACACCAGUGGCGAAAGCGGCUUCCUGGUCCAGCACCGACGUUCAGGCACGAAAGCGUGGGGAGCAAACAGG